RNAcentral lists this long non-coding RNA (327 nucleotides) under Elaeis guineensis (African oil palm). RNAcentral's name for it is "long non-coding RNA (EGUI_LNC007477)". The record is from RNAcentral. Lineage: Eukaryota; Viridiplantae; Streptophyta; Magnoliopsida; Arecales; Arecaceae.
AGCCAGGAUGCCCAGGGGUUGUGCAACCAGGUGAUUUACAUUCUUAUAUUCAUGAUAUAGCCCACUCAACCAUGUACUUUAUCUUCCAUUGCAUCCUCAUUCGAGUGGCACAGCAUUGGUUUCAAUGGCACAAUAUUAAAUCAGGUCAAAUUACAGACAUGAAAUUUUAAGAUAGAGACCAUGCCAACAUAUGGACUAAACCAGAUUUUCCCACCAAUAUCCCCAAAGCAUAUGAAUUGACAAACAAAUUUCCUCACAAAUAUCACACAAGAUAUCAAGCUGAUUAUUCGCUGGUUCCAACACCAGGAAGAUGCAAGUUCAUGUCAA